UACGAAGGGGGCUAGCGUUGCUCGGAAUCACUGGGCGUAAAGCGCACGUAGGCGGAUUGCUAAGUCAGGGGUGAAAUCCUGGAGCUCAACUCCAGAACUGCCCUUGAUACUGGCGGUCUCGAGUCCGGGAGAGGUGAGUGGAACUGCGAGUGUAGAGGUGAAAUUCGUAGAUAUUCGCAAGAACACCAGUGGCGAAGGCGGCUCACUGGCCCGAUACUGACGCUGAGGCACGAAAGCGUGGGGAGCAAACAGG
Molecule: ribosomal RNA, 253 nt
Filed under: uncultured bacterium
Lineage: Bacteria
Description: partial 16S ribosomal RNA
Rfam family: Bacterial small subunit ribosomal RNA
Source: RNAcentral